UCCCUGGCGGCCCAGCGGUUAGGGCUCUGCACUGCCACUGCAGGGGAACGGGUUCAAGCCCUGCUUGGGGAG
This 72-nucleotide transfer RNA is filed under the name Ovis aries (sheep). It matches the Rfam family "tRNA". From Rfam's summary of the family: Transfer RNA (tRNA) molecules are approximately 80 nucleotides in length. The record is from Rfam by way of RNAcentral. Lineage: Eukaryota; Metazoa; Chordata; Mammalia; Artiodactyla; Bovidae.